Sander lucioperca (pikeperch) is the source of this 376-nucleotide long non-coding RNA. RefSeq lists it as uncharacterized. The record is from RefSeq and is a predicted model, not a curated record. The transcript is spliced from 2 exons. Lineage: Eukaryota; Metazoa; Chordata; Actinopteri; Perciformes; Percidae.
CUGAGCUACCCAGACGCCCAGCUGAGAUAUUUAAGUUUAAAUGAUGCUCUCUCUCUCUCUCCACUCCCUAACUGACCCCAGCCUCACCUUAUUUAUAUUAUACUCUAUAUUACAUUGAUGGGUUUUAUUAUUUAAGAACUAUAUGCACUGAAGGAUCUCUGUGUGUCUUGAAGAUCUAAAUACAUCUUGCACAUCUAAGGUGGGACUGUUUGUGAUCCAUUCUGUUUCAGGGAUGAUAGGAUUUACUCUCUACAUUCAAGAUAUUUCGAAUAUUUCUAGUUUGUUGCACUUGGUUCUUGUUUUUCUAAUGUUGGUCUAAUGUUGGUCUUGUGAUUACAAGAAGAAGCUGCUAAAUAAAUCGCGUUUUUGAAAUGAC